RNAcentral lists this ribosomal RNA (2900 nucleotides) under Klebsiella pneumoniae BIDMC 21. Its description in RNAcentral is "bacterial LSU rRNA". It matches the Rfam family "Bacterial large subunit ribosomal RNA". RNAcentral also lists the same sequence under 2 other names. Lineage: Bacteria; Pseudomonadati; Pseudomonadota; Gammaproteobacteria; Enterobacterales; Enterobacteriaceae. The record is from RNAcentral.
UUAAGCGACUAAGCGUACACGGUGGAUGCCCUGGCAGUCAGAGGCGAUGAAGGACGUGCUAAUCUGCGAAAAGCGUCGGUAAGGUGAUAUGAACCGUUAUAGCCGGCGAUGUCCGAAUGGGGAAACCCAGUGCAAUUCGUUGCACUAUCGUUAACUGAAUACAUAGGUUAACGAGGCGAACCGGGGGAACUGAAACAUCUAAGUACCCCGAGGAAAAGAAAUCAACCGAGAUUCCCCCAGUAGCGGCGAGCGAACGGGGAGCAGCCCAGAGUCUGAAUCAGCUUGUGUGUUAGUGGAACGGUCUGGAAAGUCCGACGGUACAGGGUGAUAGUCCCGUACACCAAAAUGCACAGGCUGUGAACUCGAAGAGUAGGGCGGGACACGUGGUAUCCUGUCUGAAUAUGGGGGGACCAUCCUCCAAGGCUAAAUACUCCUGACUGACCGAUAGUGAACCAGUACCGUGAGGGAAAGGCGAAAAGAACCCCGGCGAGGGGAGUGAAAAAGAACCUGAAACCGUGUACGUACAAGCAGUGGGAGCACCUUCGGGUGUGACUGCGUACCUUUUGUAUAAUGGGUCAGCGACUUAUAUUCUGUAGCAAGGUUAACCGUAUAGGGGAGCCGCAGGGAAACCGAGUCUUAACUGGGCGUUAAGUUGCAGGGUAUAGACCCGAAACCCGGUGAUCUAGCCAUGGGCAGGUUGAAGGUUGGGUAACACUAACUGGAGGACCGAACCGACUAAUGUUGAAAAAUUAGCGGAUGACUUGUGGCUGGGGGUGAAAGGCCAAUCAAACCGGGAGAUAGCUGGUUCUCCCCGAAAGCUAUUUAGGUAGCGCCUCGUGAAUUCAUCUUCGGGGGUAGAGCACUGUUUCGGCUAGGGGGUCAUCCCGACUUACCAACCCGAUGCAAACUACGAAUACCGAAGAAUGUUAUCACGGGAGACACACGGCGGGUGCUAACGUCCGUCGUGAAGAGGGAAACAACCCAGACCGCCAGCUAAGGUCCCAAAGUCAUGGUUAAGUGGGAAACGAUGUGGGAAGGCACAGACAGCCAGGAUGUUGGCUUAGAAGCAGCCAUCAUUUAAAGAAAGCGUAAUAGCUCACUGGUCGAGUCGGCCUGCGCGGAAGAUGUAACGGGGCUAAACCAUGCACCGAAGCUGCGGCAGCGACACUAUGUGUUGUUGGGUAGGGGAGCGUUCUGUAAGCCUGCGAAGGUGUGCUGUGAGGCAUGCUGGAGGUAUCAGAAGUGCGAAUGCUGACAUAAGUAACGAUAAAGCGGGUGAAAAGCCCGCUCGCCGGAAGACCAAGGGUUCCUGUCCAACGUUAAUCGGGGCAGGGUGAGUCGACCCCUAAGGCGAGGCCGAAAGGCGUAGUCGAUGGGAAACAGGUUAAUAUUCCUGUACUUGGUGUUACUGCGAAGGGGGGACGGAGAAGGCUAUGUUAGCCGGGCGACGGUUGUCCCGGUUUAAGCAUGUAGGCUGAUUGUCCAGGCAAAUCCGGAUAAUCAAGGCUGAGGUGUGAUGACGAGGCACUACGGUGCUGAAGUAACAAAUGCCCUGCUUCCAGGAAAAGCCUCUAAGCAUCAGGUAACAUUAAAUCGUACCCCAAACCGACACAGGUGGUCAGGUAGAGAAUACCAAGGCGCUUGAGAGAACUCGGGUGAAGGAACUAGGCAAAAUGGUGCCGUAACUUCGGGAGAAGGCACGCUGGUGUGUAGGUGAAGUCCCUGCGGAUGGAGCUGAGACCAGUCGAAGAUACCAGCUGGCUGCAACUGUUUAUUAAAAACACAGCACUGUGCAAACACGAAAGUGGACGUAUACGGUGUGACGCCUGCCCGGUGCCGGAAGGUUAAUUGAUGGGGUUAUCCGUAAGGAGAAGCUCUUGAUCGAAGCCCCGGUAAACGGCGGCCGUAACUAUAACGGUCCUAAGGUAGCGAAAUUCCUUGUCGGGUAAGUUCCGACCUGCACGAAUGGCGUAAUGAUGGCCAGGCUGUCUCCACCCGAGACUCAGUGAAAUUGAACUCGCUGUGAAGAUGCAGUGUACCCGCGGCAAGACGGAAAGACCCCGUGAACCUUUACUAUAGCUUGACACUGAACAUUGAGCCUUGAUGUGUAGGAUAGGUGGGAGGCUUUGAAGCGUGGACGCCAGUCUGCGUGGAGCCAACCUUGAAAUACCACCCUUUAAUGUUUGAUGUUCUAACGUUGGCCCCUGACCGGGGUUGCGGACAGUGUCUGGUGGGUAGUUUGACUGGGGCGGUCUCCUCCCAAAGCGUAACGGAGGAGCACGAAGGUUAGCUAAUCCUGGUCGGACAUCAGGAGGUUAGUGCAAUGGCAUAAGCUAGCUUGACUGCGAGCGUGACGGCGCGAGCAGGUGCGAAAGCAGGUCAUAGUGAUCCGGUGGUUCUGAAUGGAAGGGCCAUCGCUCAACGGAUAAAAGGUACUCCGGGGAUAACAGGCUGAUACCGCCCAAGAGUUCAUAUCGACGGCGGUGUUUGGCACCUCGAUGUCGGCUCAUCACAUCCUGGGGCUGAAGUAGGUCCCAAGGGUAUGGCUGUUCGCCAUUUAAAGUGGUACGCGAGCUGGGUUUAGAACGUCGUGAGACAGUUCGGUCCCUAUCUGCCGUGGGCGCUGGAGAAUUGAGGGGGGCUGCUCCUAGUACGAGAGGACCGGAGUGGACGCAUCACUGGUGUUCGGGUUGUCAUGCCAAUGGCACUGCCCGGUAGCUAAAUGCGGAAGAGAUAAGUGCUGAAAGCAUCUAAGCACGAAACUUGCCCCGAGAUGAGUUCUCCCUGAGACUUUAAGUCUCCUGAAGGAACGUUAAAGACGAUGACGUUGAUAGGCCGGGUGUGUAAGCGCAGCGAUGCGUUGAGCUAACCGGUACUAAUGAACCGUGAGGCUUAACCUU